Molecule: ribosomal RNA, 492 nt
Filed under: uncultured bacterium
Lineage: Bacteria
Description: partial 16S ribosomal RNA
Rfam family: Bacterial small subunit ribosomal RNA
Source: RNAcentral
AGUGAACGCUGGCGGUAGGCCUAACACAUGCAAGUCGAACGGCAGCACAGUAAGAGCUUGCUCUUACGGGUGGCGAGUGGCGGACGGGUGAGGAAUACAUCGGAAUCUACUUUUUCGUGGGGGAUGACGUAGGGAAACUUACGCUAAUACCGCAUACGACCUACGGGUGAAAGCAGUGGUUCUUCGGACCUUUCGCGAUUGAAUGAGCCGAUGUCGGAUUAGCUAGUUGGCGGGGUAAAGGCCCACCAAGGCGACGAUCCGUAGCUGGUCUGAGAGGAUGAUCAGCCACACUGGAACUGAGACACGGUCCAGACUCCUACGGGGGGCAGCAGUGGGGAAUAUUGGACAAUGGGCGCAAGCCUGACCCAGCAAUACCGCGUGAGUGAAGAAGGCCUUCGGGUUGUAAAGCCCUUUUGUUGGGAAAGAAAAGCAGCAGGUUAAUACCCCGCUGUUCUGACGGUACCCAAAGAAUAAGCACCGGCUAACUUCGUG